CGUGUAGGCGGUUUGGUAAGUCUGAUGUGAAAGCCCUGGGCUCAACCUGGGAAGUGCAUUGGAAACUGUCAGACUUGAAUACGGGAGAGGGCAGUGGAAUUCCUGGUGUAGGAGUGAAAUCCGUAGAUAUCAGGAGGAACACCGGUGGCGAAGGCGGCUAUCUGGACUUAAACUGACGCUGAGGCGCGAAAGCGUGGGGAGCAAACAGGAUUAGAUACCCUGGUAGUCCACGCUGUAAACGAUGGAUGCUAGGUGUGGGAGGUAUCGACCCCGCCCGUGCCGGAGCAAACGCAAUAAGCAUCCCGCCUGGGGAGUACGGCCGCAAGGUUGAA
RNAcentral lists this ribosomal RNA (332 nucleotides) under uncultured bacterium. Its description in RNAcentral is "bacterial SSU rRNA". It matches the Rfam family "Bacterial small subunit ribosomal RNA", at positions 568 to 898 of the family's 1533-position model. The record is from RNAcentral.